UUGACAGGCCUAGCUCCCCGGUCUUCUUCUCCUGAAAAUUCUUCUCCCUUCUCGACGAUCAGUCCAACAGAGUCACUUUCACUUUCACUCUUACUCUCAACUCUUUCACAUUUGAUUAGAUUGAACAUAACUGCAUAUAAUUCUUCCUAUCGGGUUCUUUUCCAUUCUCCAAUCUCACUUUUCCUUCUGUACCUGUAUUAGCUUAAGAUAUUGCUGCAUUAGUAAAGCUUCUACUAAUAUUGAACUGUAGAGAGAACUAGAGACUGCUUCUGAUUCUCUAAAGGUGGUUGCGGAUUUAGAGGAAAAAACAGUGGUAGUGACAGUAGAUUUGAUGGAGGAGGUACCACUAAGUUCAUAAAUGAAGAAACUGAAAAGAACCCAUUGCUAGAAAAGAAAGAGUUUCAUCUAUAGUUGAUUCAAUAAGAUAAAUGGAAGGUGGAGUUCGCCGGAGUCCUAAAAUCACUGAGCUAGCUCGACUACGUGCGGAACGUGCUAAUUAACAGAAACGACAUAGAGAGGUUCAAUUGCUCAACUAUCGUACCUUUGUAAGAGCAAAACGGGAUUCAAUGAGCAAAGAGGAAAAAGAAGCGCUACUUGAGAAACGGAGGAAUGCUUAUCGUUGGGGGCACUUUAGCGUGGGCAGGGAAAUAAAGAUGGAUAUAAAGCAGAAACAAGUAGUGGUGAGGGGACAAUUGACCUUGACAUGAAUUUUCACCACAUGGCGUUCAUCGUUGACUUUGAUAAUUGAACGAGUGUCGGCUUUGAACGUUGAUUGAUACACGAAAAAUACAAAAUUACGGAAAAAAAUACAAAAUUACGGAAUGAACGGCAGGCGCAUCGCGCGUGAAGGAAAAGUUAAAUGACCAAAAUCUAAGCUUAAGUGAAGAUCCACAGCAAACAAAAAGGAGUACAAAAACGUGGGGGAUACAGUUUAAGGAAAAGUUUAGCUUGGAAUAAAGCUUAUUUUACUGACGAAGGUGUUGGUGUUACUUUUAAGUGACUUAUGAGUAUUGAUUCGAAGGCAUUAUCUUGUUCGUCUGAAUGUUUGAUGUCAAGGCUUCAAGAAAGGUGCAGCUGACCAAGGCUCUGUCUGGAAGUGUCUCCUGGUGGUCCAAGACCCUCCACCCC
Molecule: long non-coding RNA, 1128 nt
Organism: Papaver somniferum (opium poppy)
Lineage: Eukaryota; Viridiplantae; Streptophyta; Magnoliopsida; Ranunculales; Papaveraceae
Exons: 4
Source: RefSeq, a predicted model, not a curated record